This 459-nucleotide ribosomal RNA is filed under the name uncultured bacterium. RNAcentral's name for it is "partial 16S ribosomal RNA". It matches the Rfam family "Bacterial small subunit ribosomal RNA", at positions 338 to 795 of the family's 1533-position model. The record is from RNAcentral.
CCUACGGGAGGCUGCAGUGAGGAAUAUUGGUCAAUGGCCGGGAGACUGAACCAGCCAAGCCGCGUGAGGGAUGAAUGCACAGAGUAUCGUAAACCUCUUUUGUCGGGGAGUAAAAGACGCCACGCGUGGCGUUUCGAGAGUACCCGAUGAAUAAGCACCGGCUAAUUCCGUGCCAGCAGCCGCGGUAAUACGGAGGAUGCGAGCGUUAUCCGGAUUUAUUGGGUUUAAAGGGUGCGCAGGCGGAAGUUCAAGUCAGCGGUAAAAUUGGGGGGCUCAACCUGUUCGAGCCGUGGGAACUGGUGUUCUUGAGUGAGCGGGAGGUAGGCGGAAUGCGUGGUGUAGCGGUGAAAUGCUUAGAUAGCACGCAGAACUCCGAUUGCGAAGGCAGCAUGCCGCAGCGCAACUGACGCUGAUGCACGAAAGUGUGGGUAUCGAACAGGAUUAGAUACCCGUGUAGUC